GGUGGGGGAUGGGCUCGCGGCCUAUCAGCUUGUUGGUGGGGUGAUGGCCUACCAAGGCGUCGACUGGUAGCCGGCCUGAGAGGGCGACCGGCCACACUGGGACUGAGACACGGCCCAGACUCCUACGGGAGGCAGCAGUGGGGAAUAUUGCACAAUGGGCGCAAGCCUGAUGCAGCGACGCCGCGUGAGGGAUGACGGCCUUCGGGUUGUAAACCUCUUUCAGCAGGGAAGAAGCGCAAGUGACGGUACCUGCAGAAGAAGCGCCGGCUAACUACGUGCCAGCAGCCGCGGUAAUACGUAGGGCGCAAGCGUUGUCCGGAAUUAUUGGGCGUAAAGAGCUCGUAGGCGGUCUGUCGCGUCUGGUGUGAAAUCCCGAGGCUCAACCUCGGGCUUGCAUCGGGUACGGGCAGACUAGAGUGCGGUAGGGGAGACUGGAAUUCCUGGUGUAGCGGUGGAAUGCGCAGAUAUCAGGAGGAACACCGAUGGCGAAGGCAGGUCUCUGGGCCGCAACUGACGCUGAGGAGCGAAAGCAUGGGGAGCGAACAGGAUUAGAUACCCUGGUAGUCCAUGCCGUAAACGUUGGGCACUAGGUGUGGGGCUCAUUCCACGAGUUCCGUGCCGCAGC
RNAcentral lists this ribosomal RNA (625 nucleotides) under Xylanimonas sp. Its description in RNAcentral is "bacterial SSU rRNA". It matches the Rfam family "Bacterial small subunit ribosomal RNA", at positions 217 to 852 of the family's 1533-position model. Lineage: Bacteria; Bacillati; Actinomycetota; Actinomycetes; Micrococcales; Promicromonosporaceae. The record is from RNAcentral.